This is a non-coding RNA of Schizosaccharomyces pombe (fission yeast), 305 nucleotides long. NCBI's taxonomy places the organism in Eukaryota, Fungi, Ascomycota, Schizosaccharomycetes, Schizosaccharomycetales, Schizosaccharomycetaceae. The record is from the annotation of a GenBank genome assembly.
CAGCAUCGUCGAAACUAGCAAUCCAAGAGUGAAAGGUUCAUCUUUUUCAUAUAAAUAUGUAUAUUAUGGAUAUUUCAAACCUGUAGAACAAGCAAUUCACAUACCUCUUUUUUGGCAAUAGCCUGCUCAACACGUUCUUUCCGAGUACGCUCAUUGACCUUGCGCUUUUUUAAAAGCACCUCAGGUUCAAGCAUAGUCUGUUGUACAACCGGUGCAUCCUCCGCCAUUUUAUCGUCUGUUAGUAACGAGUAGAGGGCACGUUGGGACUAUAGACAGACGAAAAAUUAUAGCUAUGAAAUGUGACU